RNAcentral lists this long non-coding RNA (231 nucleotides) under Elaeis guineensis (African oil palm). RNAcentral describes it as "long non-coding RNA (EGUI_LNC011063)". The record is from RNAcentral. Lineage: Eukaryota; Viridiplantae; Streptophyta; Magnoliopsida; Arecales; Arecaceae.
CAAAGCAAAAGAUGGCUCAUACUGCAGGAUCAAAGAGUUUUGCAUGUUUGAUGACAGAAAAGGUAUAUUUUAAUUAAAUACUGCAUAUAUUAAUAUAUAGUGUCAAUUAUUCAUUACUCUUUAUGAUUGACUAGGCAAAAAAUGGUGUGGAGCCCUCACGUGCAAAAAUAUUUAUAGAAACACAUAAAUAACGAAAAGAUGGGAGAUCAAUUGAUAGUGAGUCAGCCCAAA